GCUCCCGCACUCUCCUCCCCCUCCUGCCUCUUCUCUUCCCCGCCUACUACUCCUGUCGCCGCCGCUGCCGCCGCCUCCGCUCCUGCUGUCGCCGCAUCGCCGCCCCAAACCCCUGCCGCAUCGGAGAGAAAUCCAUGGCGGUGGACAAGCCCGGCGGCGGCGGGGCCUCCUCCUCCUCGCACGCGUCCACCACAGACCGACCGCGUCAGCAAGAGGAGAGGAGCACCCGCCGCAGCGCGUCCUCAGUCCGGCCUCGACAAGAGAAGGGGAGCAGCAGCCGCGCUAGCUGGCGCGCACCUCGUCGCCACCUCUCCUCACCUUCUCCCAGGUUCCUGAUCUGGAGUGGGAGGGACGCACGCCGGCGAGGCCAGGCUACCCUUGACACGCAUAUGUAGAAUGUUCUCACUAUCAACUCUGGAAUAACUAGCAAGUAGUGGUGUCAAUGGCAUCCGUGGGAGCCAUUUUGGUGGCACAUGGACAUCACGUUCUGGAAUAAAGCCAUGGAACAAUAAAUAACUUGGCAACGGAUACCCUGUGGUCUACAAUUAUACUGUAAUUAUGUGUGCACUUUGGAUCUAUUGGAUGUCUGAAUGUAUUGUUAAUCGACAACUACUGAUGCAAAGGAGAUAUGUGUUGAGAGGCACAUGAAUACGCACGUGGGCUGUUUUUCAGCAUGGUAGUCUAAAAAACUGUGGUAUUCUCAGAAAAUGCUUUGCUAUCAAACAGGGCAAGUGCAGAUUUCCUUGAAUAUAGUUUAUUUUACAAUUGUGUUGCCAACGCGCUUCCUGUUUUAUCACCAUAAAAUAGUUCUAGGUGCUCAUAUAAAAUUUAGUGGCGUGUAUGGGUGAUUGUAGUGCAGUUUUGUUGAUCUGCUUGCAUUUUCAGCAUUAUAGUGUUGAUAUACUAUCUCAAUAAAACAGUGAAUACGUAUAAUAUGUACAAGCUACAUUCAAGUUAUGGCAGUGUGCCUGGGUAAGACAAACUGGUAAUCUUCUGCUAGCUGAAAAAAACUUGUUUCAUCUUUACAUGUGUUUCUUGUUGAAACUCUUUUUCGUCUUUGCAUGUGUUUCUUGCUGAAGCUCGUGAUUUUCAAGUUAUGGCAGCACAUAUGUCUACCCACUUGCAUGACUUCCGGAUGAAUUAGUAACUUUGUGUGGAGGUGGCACCACUACCUGCUGGUUGGUGUAAUGCCGUGCUUGACAGGGUGAUCUGCAAUUUCGAGUUUGUUUAAUGGCUUAAUGUCUAAGCACUCAUCCCCUUAUUCUGUUGUGUUGCUACCAACUUGGUUUGCAAGGAACAGAGCUUCAUCUGUGUACAUCAAGAUUGCUAAUUGCCAUCUGAAGGGUGAUAGUAAGCAUGAAGAUGCCUAAGCUUAUGAGGAAGCUGCAAACUGCGACCAAAAAUUCUCACUUCAGGGUACUCUCUUUCGAUCUCGAUCUCAGAGAGGAAACGAGGCAGCCACGGCCUCCUGCCCCCCCUCUCUCCCUCUCUCCCGUGCCUCCGUGCUGCCGCAGUACUCCCGCGCUGCACACCGCUGCUGCUCCCCAACGACGGCGCUCUGAUGGUGCUUGCUCGCCUGGUCGCCGCCUCGUCUCGCCCGAUCUUGAUAUCGUCUGGGGUGGCGCCGGCACCGCUCGACCGCGUCGUUGCCUCCUCUGCGUCAUGAGAAGUGCCACCAUUGCCUCCACCCCCACUGGGCAAGGAGGUCGAGGUGUUUGGGGGUUCGUGUUUCCUACACAGGCCAAAACACUAUUGGAGUUUGAAACCAGUCGUUUGGAGCAGAUCAGCUCAAAAGAGAUCCUUUGUACCAUUUGCAGACUACCCACCUUCCUCUGGAGAUUGACAGGCCUGGAGUCUCGCUCGCCUCUGUUUUCCCCCUAUGGACACACAUGAGACUCAGAUCUUGGCUCUUGUCGUAGAGGAAUCGAUAGCAAGAAUCAACCAGAGAAAGGAUGUACACAAGGUGUUUAAAGAUUUACUUUGUUCCAGCGCCUACUUUGGAUCAUAGGAAACUAAAAAAAAGAGGGCGCCGCCACCACCGUCAUCAGGCUGGCCCACAUCCACGCGCUGCUCGGCGUCACCAGGUCACCGGCACAACUCCUCACGCCCAGGUCGUUCAACAUUUUCAGCCGCUUUUGGUACGCCACAUUUAGAGUCUUUCUUUCCCAUUUUACCGUGUUUGCAUGGUAAGAUGUUUGGUCGGAUUUGAAGGUUCGUAGCCUUGACUCCAAAGCUUCAAACUCUUAUAGAAAUUAGAACUGAGGGCCUUUUAAAAUGAGUCCUGCAUAAUAGUGUUGUUCAGUGGUAUGCAGAUUUUUUUUUGUCUGAUCGGCUAUCCUUGGUGCUGAUUUAAGUACUGAUUUCAUCAUCAUAUGACCACAAUAAAGAAGUUGUGUGUAUAAAUAUUACUAACUGUUUGCAUCAGUGAUUUCAAUUCUGUUGGCCCUCCUUAAG
This is a non-coding RNA of Aegilops tauschii subsp. strangulata, 2454 nucleotides long. The record is from RefSeq and is a predicted model, not a curated record. NCBI's taxonomy places the organism in Eukaryota, Viridiplantae, Streptophyta, Magnoliopsida, Poales, Poaceae.